This 122-nucleotide ribosomal RNA is filed under the name Acanthamoeba polyphaga. The record is from RNAcentral. Lineage: Eukaryota; Discosea; Longamoebia; Acanthamoebidae. RNAcentral also lists the same sequence under 1 other name.
GGAUACGGCCAUACUGCGCAGAAAGCACCGCUUCCCAUCCGAACAGCGAAGUUAAGCUGCGCCAGGCGGUGUCAGUACUGGGGUGGGCGACCACCCGGGAAUCCACCGUGCCGUAUCCUCUU